GAGAGUUCAGAUCCUAUAGGUUCUGGAGUCGGAGCCCACUGAUGCGCGUUUGAAAGUUUCAAUGAAAAUGUAUCAAGAUGAGCUUGCUGAAAUAUUUCAAAAGAAAAACGGAUCAUGGACAUGGAGAGAAGAAUCAAGCAGAGCUUCAGCAGAAUUCUGUACGUUUUGUGACACAAGCUACAUGGAGUCACUGCUGCAUCGUGAGCACAAGAUGGCUUAGUUUGGAGAUGGUGGUCAGUCAGAUUCUACGUCUCUAUAAUGCACUCAAGAGUUAUUUUGGAAGCAUCCAUGAGAAGCAAGCCAGGUGUGUCCGGCUGCGUGAAUCGUUCCAGGACCCAAUGACGGAGAUCCAUCUCUUGUUCUACCAGUUGACACUGAUAACUUUCACAAAUUUCAACCUGCUAUUCCAGCAGAAAGACCCUUGUGUC
Long non-coding RNA from Gadus chalcogrammus (walleye pollock), 428 nucleotides. RefSeq lists it as uncharacterized. The transcript is spliced from 4 exons. The record is from RefSeq and is a predicted model, not a curated record. NCBI's taxonomy places the organism in Eukaryota, Metazoa, Chordata, Actinopteri, Gadiformes, Gadidae.